CUACGGGCGGUAGCAGUGAGGAAUUUUGCGCAAUGGGGGUAACCCUGACGCAGCAACGCCGCGUGAGUGAAGAAGGCCUUUGGGUCGUAAAGCUCUGUCGACAGGGAAGAAGUUACUAUUGUCUAAUAUAUGGUAGUAUUGACGGUACCUGUGGAGGAAGCGCCGGCUAACUCCGUGCCAGCAGCCGCGGUAACACGGGGGGCGCAAGCGUUAUUCGGAAUUAUUGGGCGUAAAGGGCGCGUAGGCGGCCUUGUCAGUCAGAUGUGAAAGCCCGGGGCUCAACCCCGGACGUGCAUUUGAAACAGCAAGGCUUGAGUACGGGAGAGGAAAGCGGAAUUCCUGGUGUAGAGGUGAAAUUCGUAGAUAUCAGGAGGAACACCGAUGGCGAAGGCAGCUUUCUGGACCGAUACUGACGCUGAUGCGCGAAGGCGUGGGUAGCGAACAGGAUUAGAUACCCUAGUAGUC
Molecule: ribosomal RNA, 465 nt
Filed under: uncultured bacterium
Lineage: Bacteria
Description: partial 16S ribosomal RNA
Rfam family: Bacterial small subunit ribosomal RNA
Source: RNAcentral